CUACGGAGGGUGCAAGCGUUAAUCGGAAUUACUGGGCGUAAAGCGUACGUAGGCGGUUUAUUAAGUCAGAUGUGAAAGCCCCGGGCUUAACCUGGGAACUGCAUUUGAAACUAGUAGACUAGAGUAUGGUAGAGGGGGGUAGAAUUCCUAGUGUAGCGGUGAAAUGCGUAGAUAUUAGGAGGAAUACCAGUGGCGAAGGCGGCCCCCUGGACCAAUACUGACGCUGAGGUACGAAAGCGUGGGGAGCGAACAGGAUUAGAAACCCUAGUAGUCC
RNAcentral lists this ribosomal RNA (274 nucleotides) under uncultured bacterium. RNAcentral's name for it is "partial 16S ribosomal RNA". It matches the Rfam family "Bacterial small subunit ribosomal RNA", at positions 523 to 796 of the family's 1533-position model. The record is from RNAcentral.